GUAUCCUUCCCGGUAACUUUCGGAAGCCUUUGCAACCUAAUCAGGGUCCGCGACUAUAAACACAGGAUGCAAGUAGCCUAGAGCUGCAACAUAAUCGAAUUGCGGGGACGUCCUAAAGCCUACGAUACCAACGUUUCAGGGAAACCUGCAGCGGGUCUGUGUAAUCACAGAAGGUCACAACUCGUAGGAUGUACAAUGGAUAAUCCGCAGCGAAGCCCCUAACGGUGUAUGCCUACGGGGAACGUUCACAGACUAAGUGGUUAUGGGUAGAGUACGCUCUGCUUAAGAUAUAGUCGGACGCUGUGGGAAACUACAGUGACUAGUCGUUCCGUAGGUGAACCUGCGGAAGGAUCAUUACAGAGUUCUUGCCCUAACGGGUAGAAUUCCCACCCUUGUGUAACAUAAUUAUCUGUUGCUUUGGCGGGUCGCGAGUUUACUUGCCCUGUGUACCCGCCAGAGAACCAAUCAACUCUGAAUAUUAGUGUCGUCUGAGUACUAUAUAAUAGUUAAAACUUUCAACAACGGAUCUCUUGGUUCUGGCAUCGAUGAAGAACGCAGCGAAAUGCGAUAAGUAAUGUGAAUUGCAGAAUUCAGUGAAUCAUCGAAUCUUUGAACGCACAUUGCGCCCCUUGGUAUUCCGGGGGGCAUGCCUGUUCGAGCGUCAUUAUGACCAAUCCAGCUUGCUGGGUCUUGGGCUAUCGCCUCCCUGGCGGGCCUUAAAAACAGUGGCGGUGCUCUCAAGCUCUACGCGUAGUAAUUAUUCUCGCUAUUGGGUCUUGAGGGAUGCUUGCCAACAACCCCCAACUUCUUAGGUGACCUCGGAUCAGG
RNAcentral lists this small RNA (828 nucleotides) under Brunnipila fuscescens. Its description in RNAcentral is "partial contains 18S rRNA, ITS1, 5.8S rRNA, ITS2, 28S rRNA". The stretch from base 511 to 664 matches the Rfam family "5.8S ribosomal RNA". The record is from RNAcentral. Lineage: Eukaryota; Fungi; Ascomycota; Leotiomycetes; Helotiales; Lachnaceae.